This 457-nucleotide ribosomal RNA is filed under the name uncultured bacterium. Its description in RNAcentral is "bacterial SSU rRNA". It matches the Rfam family "Bacterial small subunit ribosomal RNA", at positions 8 to 507 of the family's 1533-position model. The record is from RNAcentral.
AGAGUUUGAUCAUGGCUCAGAACGAACGCUGGCGGCAGGCCUCAAACAUGCAAGUCUAGGGGGUGUAGCAAUACAUCACCGGCGGACGGGUGCGUAACGCGUGGGAAUAUACCUAUCGAUUCGGAACAACUGAGGGAAACUUCAGCUAAUACCGAAUACGUCCUAACGGAGAAAGAUUUAUCGUCGAUAGAUUAGCCCGCGUUCGAUUAGCUAGUUGGUGGGGUAACGGGCCCCACCAAGGCGACGAUCGAUAGCUGUUCUGAGAGGAAGAUCAGCCACACUGGGACUGAGACACGGCCCAGACUCCUACGGGAGGCAGCAGUUGGGAAUCUUGGACAAUGGGGGAAACCCUGAUCCAGCCAUGCCGCGUGAGUGAUGAAGGCCUUCGGGUUGUAAAACUCUUUCGCGCACGACGAUAAUGACGGUAGUGCGAGAAGAAGCUCCGGCUAACUUCGUG